GUUGUAUAACAAUGACUGAAUCUCUUUAGACAGAAUUUGUGAAUCAAUCAAGACAGAACGUCAGUGAGGAUGAACCUGAACUACCUGUACAAUUACGUGAGGUGCCUAUACCAACUCCUCCUGAGGAAAGAAAACAUUAUGUACUACAAUCACGUACGAAUGAAUAAAUAGGAAAUUAAAUUUUUUGAACCCUAAAUUGGGCCAGGGAUUUAGGGCAGUGGCACCACUCCUGCCUUUCAAGUACAAGGUCCUGAGUUUGAGGGCCACUAGCAAAAACGGCAACAAAAAAAAAAAACCCUAAAAUACUUCUAUGAAAAUUGAUACCAAUGGUGUUAUGAAGGAGAAUUAAAGAUUGAUAUUCAAUUUUCAAUUGACCAAAUAUGUCCAUCUCUCAGAAGCACCCAGGUAAAGCUGAGUCCAUUCCACCUGGAAAAUAAAAGACAUAAAAUGAAAGUUGCAAACGCCACCUAGAAAAGGAAAGUUACCCAGAAAUGAAAAAACAAAUGUGUGUACCUAAAAGAAGGCAGUGGUCCUUAGCUCCAGAUGCCCACAUAGAGCCCACGCAGCUCGGAAUUGAGAGGCCCUCCGCCUACGAAGAGCUUCAUCUUGGACCAGUUGUAGCAGUGCGUGUAGACCGAAUAAGGGAUCUCUUCGAUGCCACAGAAAUCAUAUAUCCAGAGGUCAUCUGGGUGGAGCCAGCCUUUGCCACAGGUGGCAACUUCUGGAAGAGAUUCCUGGAAGGCUGGGCCUCAAGACCUCCAGUGUCCAACACUUUGUUCUUCUCUACCUCACCACAGUGGCCAACCAGCUCCAUGAAUAAAACCCAAACCCUGAAAUACGUAGUCAGGCAAGCAGCUAAAAGGAGCCUUGAGCAGGAUCGCUGAGUAGAAAGAACCACCACAUGCUUGGGCUCCUCCUGAGAGAACCACGGCUGAUAUCAGACAUUGAACUUGGCAGGGAGGAGGACCUUGAGCAUGGCGGGAGACCCCCUUCCCUGCUUGUUCCUUUCCGCAACCCCUCUAGUACUGAUAGUACAGUGGGGGGCUGGGAGUCCACUCCCCCACCUACUGGAGUUUGGCAACACUUCUGGGCCAGUCCUCCUUCCACUGUUCUGAGACAGGCGGAAAAUAAAAUAGCAAAGGCCAAAGCAAUCUCUGAGGCUCCAGGCCACAGCACAAAUGCAUUAAAUCUCCUGGCCUGAUCCUCAGUAACCUCUGCCCCUCACUAGCCUUGUGAAAGUCUUGUAAACGUAGACCGCCUCUCACGUAUACACUUGAAUCUGCUGUGUGAGCUGUGGGACAUGCAUGCUCCUGAGAGCCCCCACCUCAGGGUCACCGCACCCUGUCAAGCAUUCCCGGCAAUCUUUCCUAGACACCCCGUAGAGCUACCCGGUCUGGGGGCACCUCCCUUGAACUCCAAUGCCUGCUUUAUCUGGGCGUUCUCCACUUUCUGUCAUCCUGGCCCCACUUCUCUGUCUAUGCCACAUUUCUGUCCGCACGGUGCUGCCCCAAGCUCACCGUCCCAUGAUCUUUGAUAAACAUAGCUGCUUUUCUUUUCCUACUGGAUGUACACUUGCAAGUCUGUGCUCACUGUGCACAAGAACCUGGCAUCUGUCUGUCAGAUCCAUCCCAUGGCAGCACCCCAUGCAGAACAGUGGGAAGAAGUGAGGCAACCAAGCAUGCUCACUCAUACGAUUAGACAGCAAGUGAAGGGCGCAUUUCCCUGAACAGAAGAUCAGAUCCUACCUUAGUUGUUGCUCCAAAACAUGCAAUAGGCUUAUUUUCGGGGGAUAUCUUACUUUUUGUGUCCAAACAUCUACAUGAAUUCAUGUACAAAAAUGUACAUUUCUUCCAUCGCAGUCAUGUUAUCUUCUUCUGGAACAUUGUCCUAAUGCUCCACACGCCAAAUUCAAGCCUGAAUUUCUUGCAACUCCAUUUCCCGUAGAACCAAAGGCCCCAAUCUCUCACGUCCAGCAAUGGAGGCUUUCUGCAAUGAGCACUUCCUGUCCAUGUAGCCUGCUCCUAGUGCAUCAGUAAAUCAUGGGACACAUUGAAUUAUGAAGAUUCACACCAGACACAGCCACAUGCAUUCCUUAACAGGUGCACGCAUUAUCCGGGCCUCGUUUCUACACCAGUCGGUCAUUCAGCAGUAACUUUCAGGGUCAUCUGUUCACACAGGCAUUUACCUCUCGUCCAAAGGUGCCACUUGGGUGUUUACGGGUAUUUAAUUAUAAUGUGUGUUAUCAUUUGUUUUAAGUAUUAAUGUCAAUAGCAUUACUUACAGUUAAUUAUAUAGGAAUAUCAUUAAACUUUAAUACC
RNAcentral lists this long non-coding RNA (2318 nucleotides) under Fukomys damarensis (Damara mole-rat). Its description in RNAcentral is "lncRNA (ENSFDAG00000024008.1)". Lineage: Eukaryota; Metazoa; Chordata; Mammalia; Rodentia; Bathyergidae. The record is from RNAcentral.